UCCCUAGUGGCUCAGAUGGUAAAGUAUCUGCUUGCAAUGCAGGAGACCUAGGUUCAAUCACUGGGUUGGGAA
RNAcentral lists this transfer RNA (72 nucleotides) under Bos taurus (domestic cattle). It matches the Rfam family "tRNA". From Rfam's summary of the family: Transfer RNA (tRNA) molecules are approximately 80 nucleotides in length. Their secondary structure includes four short double-helical elements and three loops (D, anti-codon, and T loops). The record is from Rfam by way of RNAcentral. Lineage: Eukaryota; Metazoa; Chordata; Mammalia; Artiodactyla; Bovidae. RNAcentral also lists the same sequence under 1 other name.